RNAcentral lists this ribosomal RNA (264 nucleotides) under uncultured archaeon. RNAcentral's name for it is "partial 16S ribosomal RNA". It matches the Rfam family "Archaeal small subunit ribosomal RNA", at positions 717 to 982 of the family's 1478-position model. The record is from RNAcentral.
AGACGUCUACAUUAGAUACCCGCGUAGUCCCAGCCGUAAACUAUGCGCGUUAGGUGUAUCGGUGACCACGAGUCACCGAGGUGCCGAAGGGAAACCGUGAAACGUGCCGCCUGGGAAGUACGGUCGCAAGGCUGAAACUUAAAGGAAUUGGCGGGGAGCACCACAACGGGUGGAGCCUGCGAUUUAAUUGGACUCAACGCCGGGAAGCUCACCGGAUAAGACAGCGGAAUGAUUGCCGGGCUGAAGACUCUGCAUGACUAGCUG